This 1397-nucleotide ribosomal RNA is filed under the name metagenome. Its description in RNAcentral is "bacterial LSU rRNA". It matches the Rfam family "Bacterial large subunit ribosomal RNA", at positions 1321 to 2925 of the family's 2925-position model. The record is from RNAcentral.
UUGAAAGACACUGUCGCCGAAAGACCAAGGGUUCCUGCGUAAAGUUAAUCUGCGCAGGGUUAGUCGGCCCCUAAGGCGAGGCGGAAACGCGUAGUCGAUGGGAACCAGGUUAACAUUCCUGGACCAGGAGGUGGUGACAGAUCUCGAAAGUCGUACGGUCUUACUGGAUUGACCGUGCGGCCUGGAGGUCUCUGGAAAUAGCCCCUCCAUCAGACCGUACCCGAAACCGACACAGGUGGUCAGGUAGAGAAUACCAAGGCGCUUGAGAGAACUAUGCUGAAGGAACUAGGCAAAUUACACGCGUAACUUCGGGAUAAGCGUGCCUCAUUUAAAGGCAACUUUGAGUGAGGGGCACAAGCCAGGGGGUGGCGACUGUUUAUCAAAAACACAGGGCUCUGCGAAGCCGCAAGGCGACGUAUAGGGUCUGACUCCUGCCCGGUGCCGGAAGGUUAAAGAGAGGUGUGCAAGCAUCGAACUGAAGCCCCGGUGAACGGCGGCCGUAACUAUAACGGUCCUAAGGUAGCGAAAUUCCUUGUCGGGUAAGUUCCGACCUGCACGAAUGGAGUAACGACUUCCCCGCUGUCUCCAGCAUAGACUCAGUGAAAUUGAAUUCCCCGUGAAGAUGCGGGGUUCCCGCGGUUAGACGGAAAGACCCUGUGAACCUUAACUAUAACUUCGCAGUGGCGUUAUCGGUGGUUUGUGUAGGAUAGGCGGGAGGCUUUGAAGCAUGGGCGCCAGCUCGUGUGGAGCCAACGUUGAAAUACCGCCCUAAUCUUCGGUGACGUCUAACCUCGAUCCAUUAUCUGGAUCAGGGACCCUGCGUGGCGGGUAGUUUGACUGGGGCGGUCGCCUCCCAAAGAGUAACGGAGGCGCGCGAUGGUAGGCUCAGGACGGUCGGAAAUCGUCCGCUGAGUGCAAUGGCAUAAGCCUGCCUGACUGCGAGACUACAAGUCGAGCAGAGACGAAAGUCGGCCAUAGUGAUCCGGUGAUUCUGUGUGGAAGGGUCAUCGCUCAACGAAUAAAAGGUACUCCGGGGAUAACAGGCUGAUGAUGCCCAAGCGUCCAUAGCGACGGCAUCGUUUGGCACCUCGAUGUCGGCUCAUCUCAUCCUGGGGCUGGAGCAGGUCCCAAGGGUAUGGCUGUUCGCCAUUUAAAGAGGUACGUGAGCUGGGUUCAGAACGUCGUGAGACAGUUUGGUCCCUAUCUGCCGUGGGUGCUGGAAACUUGAGAGGAUUUGUCCCUAGUACGAGAGGACCGGGAUGAACAUACCUCUGGUGGACCAGUCGUGACGCCAGUCGCGCAGCUGGGUAGCUAUGUAUGGUCGGGAUAACCGCUGAAAGCAUCUAAGCGGGAAACCCACCUCAAAACCAGGUUUCCCUGAGAGCCGUGAUGAAAAG